This 68-nucleotide transfer RNA is filed under the name Lachesilla picticeps. RNAcentral describes it as "tRNA-Ser". It matches the Rfam family "tRNA". From Rfam's summary of the family: Transfer RNA (tRNA) molecules are approximately 80 nucleotides in length. Their secondary structure includes four short double-helical elements and three loops (D, anti-codon, and T loops). Lineage: Eukaryota; Metazoa; Arthropoda; Insecta; Psocodea; Lachesillidae. The record is from RNAcentral.
AAUUGAUUAGUCUAAAUUAAGACAAUUGUUUUGAAAGCAAUAAAUGGAAUUAUUAACUCCCUCAAUUU